GGGGCUGGGGCUCAGUGGUAGAGCACUUGCCUGGCAUGUGUGAAGCACUGGGUUCGAUUCUCAGCACCG
This 69-nucleotide transfer RNA is filed under the name Ictidomys tridecemlineatus (thirteen-lined ground squirrel). RNAcentral's name for it is "Spermophilus tridecemlineatus (thirteen-lined ground squirrel) tRNA". It matches the Rfam family "tRNA". Rfam says of the family: Transfer RNA (tRNA) molecules are approximately 80 nucleotides in length. Their secondary structure includes four short double-helical elements and three loops (D, anti-codon, and T loops). The record is from Rfam by way of RNAcentral. Lineage: Eukaryota; Metazoa; Chordata; Mammalia; Rodentia; Sciuridae.